AGUCACUCUUUCAAAACGUAAGCAGAAGAUUUACUCAUAUUCAACCAGAGUGCUCUUGCUUCAGAUUAACCGACCUUCUGCCUGUGGUUUCAGUGAAAUCCGACAAUAGUUGCUGCAAAGACUCACCAAAUGGCAACAAGACAGAGGGGAACUCUGAUCCUUCACUUCUUAAGGAUAGUUUUGGCAUUGCCACUGAAAACAAGUGGUACGGCAACAUUUGGUCGUGUUGACAGUAUAAUUGAAGUGACAACUGGUGCAAUCAAAGGAAAUCUCACUGAAGUCCAGCUACCAAUAGUCACUUACAAUCAGAAAUCCCCUUUGAAUAUCACAGAAGAGAUCAAGGUGGCUCAAGCAACAACCGGCUUCCUAGAUACUCUGAAAAUGAAUUCAGGAAUGACAAACACCAAAAAAGUAACUGAAAGCAUUACAUCUCCAGUGUUCACAAGAUCCACAAAAAAACAGGACAUGGAACAAACACUCCUAACCUCUACUACUAGAAUUACCCAUUUAUCUACAGAGGCGAAGCUCAUUUCUACCACAACCACAUCUUCAACCUCAUCUCUUGAAAACAAACCUAUAAACAUAGCGCUUAGUGAUCCUUGCAACAAAUGACCAACUUAUUGUCUGUCUGGACACUGAAACUGAUGUUUGGGUGAGACUUCCCAGGUAAGGAAAAAAGUGUUUAUCAACCAAUUUUAUUUAAAUAAUGUGACUGAUUAUUAUUUACUAUUUCAUCACAUUGAUCUGUCCUUAACAGGUGGGGGAAUCAAGAGGAGUUAUAUAGUGAGUGUCCUACCUCCGGGCUGAAUCGAAGUUGUUCUUCACAAAAUCAUUGAAAGGCCUCAUGUGUUCUUCCUUUGUAAAUAAGACAUGGUUGGCAAUGCUCUGCAAAAUCUUAAGGAAAGACCAAAUUUACAAUUAUGACAACCAUUGAUGUAACCCUCCAAAGAUCAAGUUUUGAGACAGAGUUUUCUUUACACAGUCAUGUCCUUAAUCAAGAUUGUCUGAUCUGAUAAAAAAUGAAAUUAUUGAAAUUAAACAUUUGUUGAUGCAAACUGGGCCCCACAUCAUACUGUACACUACCGGUGUUCUCCUUUUCGCAGCAACCACACUUGCAUAAUCCUAAUUACAACACUCAUCUAUGAAGAAAGGUAGAGGAAGACCACUCCGCCAGCUUACCAUAAAAGAAGGAUGAAAACAACUCAAGCAUCCUUUGCAAUGCCUUUGUCAGCACCUGUCUUCCUAACAAUACUACCUCAGAACCCUCACCUGAAUUCGGCACUCAGAGGAAUACAAAAUAAGAAAUCGCUUGUGACGUUUUUACAGAAGUAUGUAUUACGUACUGAGAGGCACUUGUUAACAUAAUUCCCUCUUGGAACUAAUAGUUGAUGGGUGUCGAUGGUGUUUUCUGAGUAGCGGACUUGCAGUUGACUUCCUGUUUUUGGCAAGUGAAAAGUAAAGUAUUUUGCAAAACA
Long non-coding RNA from Syngnathus typhle (broad-nosed pipefish), 1475 nucleotides. RefSeq lists it as uncharacterized. NCBI's taxonomy places the organism in Eukaryota, Metazoa, Chordata, Actinopteri, Syngnathiformes, Syngnathidae. The transcript has 3 exons. The record is from RefSeq and is a predicted model, not a curated record.